CAGUCGCCGCGGUAAUACGUAGGGUGCAAGCGUUAAUCGGAAUUACUGGGCGUAAAGCGUGCGCAGGCGGUUUGUUAAGACAGAUGUGAAAUCCCCGGGCUCAACCUGGGAACUGCAUCUGUGACUGGCAGGCUAGAGUAUGGCAGAGGGGGGUGGAAUUCCGCGUGUAGCAGUGAAAUGCGUAGAUAUGCGGAGGAACACCGAUGGCGAAGGCAGCCCCCUGGGCCAAUACUGACGCUCAUGCACGAAAGCGUGGGGAGCAAACAGGAUUAGAUACCCCUGUAGUCCCUGUCUCUUAUAC
Molecule: ribosomal RNA, 301 nt
Filed under: uncultured bacterium
Lineage: Bacteria
Description: partial 16S ribosomal RNA
Rfam family: Bacterial small subunit ribosomal RNA
Source: RNAcentral